This is a long non-coding RNA of Hypanus sabinus (Atlantic stingray), 2346 nucleotides long. RefSeq lists it as uncharacterized. The transcript is spliced from 3 exons. Lineage: Eukaryota; Metazoa; Chordata; Chondrichthyes; Myliobatiformes; Dasyatidae. The record is from RefSeq and is a predicted model, not a curated record.
GUUUGAAUGCUGUUACUAAUUAACCAAACUAUCAACAGAAAUAGAAGCAACACAUAAUCUGCUGGAGGAACUCAGAGGGUCAAACAGCAUCAGUGGAAGGAAAGAAAUUGCUGAUGGUCUGGGUGGAAACCCUGCAGUGCUUUCCAGCACCGGCUGUAAGACUGGGGUUCAAUUCCUCCCACUGCCUCUAAGGAGUCUGUACACUCUCCCUGUCACUAUGUGGGUUUCCUCUGGGUGUUCCACUCUCCUUCUACAUUACAAAGACAUGCAGUUUAGGAAUAAGCAAAUCUUAAACUUAAAAUUACAGGAAGCACAGACAGAAAUCAGGACAAGAUAACCAGUGCCUCAGAUGUCCACCUCACUGGUGAAACAGUGCAUCAACCACCCUCUCCAAUAAUGUGCGACUCUGGAGAGGCAGCAAAAGGCAGUUCCGGUCAGACUCACACAGUGAGCACCAUAUGCAUGGUUGGCACUGCAUAAAGAGAACAAUUUGCCACUGCUAACUCUCGCUCAAUGUGCAGCAUUCUGCAAAACCAGGGUGCAUGCAAAUAUAUUUUUAAUUGAUUGCCAAUUGCAAAAGAAAACCUAAUCGUACUGUGCAGUGAAGAUAAAACUACAAGAUAUGGACAAGAGUGGUAAAUAAUUUGAAGGCUACAGCUUUGAUUGGUGUAAGGGUGAAGGUUGCCUAACACAGGAGCAGGACUAGAACACUCAAACAGAUCAUAACAGCUUAGCAUCUUCUUCCCACUCUGCGAUUGGCACCCCUCAGAUUAUCUCUGGCAAUCAUUCCACCACCCUUGUGCCGAUGACUCUCUGUGGAUUUCAGUUCAGAACGCUAUUUGCUUGCAUUUCUUGUUUGCAUGUUUUGUAUUCUUUUCUCUGGGUGUUUGAUGGUCUCUUUUUUAACGUUUUUUUUUCCAGUUUUGUUUCGUUUUGCGGCUAGCUGUUAGGAGGUGAACAUCAGGGUUGUUUCAUGUACACAUACUUCGAUAAUAAACGCACUUUGAACUUUGUGUUGAAUUCCUUUCUCAAGCCUGAAUUCGUUGAACUCCCUGGCUUUAAUGUUAAUGCUGAAACUUUUGUUCCAUACUCUCCCACAAAAGGCAGUGAAUUGAGGAAACUUUCUACUAUCUAUCCUGCAUAGCAUCCAAUGCAGCCUAGAUAAAUCCUCUGAACCGUGGCUCGGUAUGAAAACUGCUCUGGCCAAGACUGCAAGAAGCUGUUGCGUUGUGGACACACAGUUCAGCACAUCACGGAAACCAGCCUCCCCUCCGUGAAUUCUCUCCACACUUCCCACUGCCUUGAGAAAGCAGCCAACAUAAUCAAAGACCCUCCCAUUCUGAACAUUUUAUCUUCUCUUUCCCCUCAGACGCAAGAUACAAAAGCCUGAAAGCAAAUACCACCAGGAUCAAGGACAGCAUCAACCCCACUGUUAUCAGACUAUCGAAGGUACCAUAGUCACUACCUUCUGAACAUUCUGCUGCAAAACGUUUAAAGGGACACUGGAGCCUCUGCCCGGGACUCUCAAUCCUUUGUGUUAGGUAUAUUACAUCAAGGGCUGGACACAUAGAAAAGGGAUUGCAUUCUUUACUCUGCUUGAUCAAAGGUGUGUACUGGAAAAAGCAUUAAACAACUUGAAUCAUGAAAUAAACUUUUCGUAAGACAUUGAGUGUGAGCCUUCAGGCUCCUGAUGGUGGCAAUGAGAAGGUCCCAGGUGAUGGGGGUCCUUCAUGAUGGAUGCCGCCUUUUUGAGGCAUCGCCUUUUGAGGAUGUCCUCAAUGCUGGGGAGUGGCUGACACAAGAACAAGUGCGUCUGCUCAUGUGAGAUUGCACACUUUGGUUGGGUGGAAGUUUUUCCACAACCUAAGGCACCAAAAUAUCUAAUUUACUUGCUGUUGUCGUUGGUGUCAGAAUCUUUUUUUUUAUUUAGAGAUCCAGCACAGUAACAGAUCCCUUCCAGCCCAAUGAGCCUGCACGACCCAAUUACACCCAUGUGACCAACUGACCUACUAACUUGUGCUUCUUUGGAAUGUGGGAAUCGAGAGGAAGCCCACGCGUUCACAGGGAGAACUACAAGGUCCUUACAGGCUAAGGCAUGGAUUGAACCUGGGUCGCUGGCACUGUAAUAACGCUAACCGCAGUGUUACCGUGUUGCCCUAUUUGUGGAAUAUGUGGCAACACUUGCAGGUUGCCCACAGUGUUGCCUGUAACACAAACGGUGCACUUCACUGUAUUCUUUGGUUCAUGCUGAAUCUGAAAUAAAGCACCAUAAAUCUCCUUCAUUUUAGUCUAUCAGUACAUUCUUCUGUCCUCUCCCCCUUCCAAAAGGCAGUGUCCAUCACUAAG